Molecule: long non-coding RNA, 388 nt
Organism: Cebus imitator (Panamanian white-faced capuchin)
Lineage: Eukaryota; Metazoa; Chordata; Mammalia; Primates; Cebidae
Exons: 4
Source: RefSeq, a predicted model, not a curated record
UUGGUAACCCAUAGAAGUAUUUGAUCAGAGAUGUGAAUGCAAGUUUUUAAGAAGAUCAUCUGACAGUGUUGUACAUAUGUAUUGGAGUAAGAAAAUACACACCAGUGAGAUGAGGUUAUGUUCACAGACAGAUGCAUUAACAGUGAAAGCUGUUGAAAAGAUUUUUCCAUUCAUGGAUUUUAAUGAGAAAGGAUGAAGAAUCAAAGUCCUUUUAAGGAUUAAGCAAAGGAUUGGCAGGUUACACUGGGAAUCCUGAAAACAAUGAAGGUACAGAUGUGUCAUGGUUUGUGAGAUGUGAGCUCAGGAGACAUGCAAUUGUGAGGUAUUCUACAGAAUAAAUUGGCAGUGACUGCGCAGCUGUAGAUGAAAACAUCACGCAGUGUUGACA